Molecule: ribosomal RNA, 1019 nt
Filed under: uncultured bacterium
Lineage: Bacteria
Description: bacterial SSU rRNA
Rfam family: Bacterial small subunit ribosomal RNA
Source: RNAcentral
UGAGGAAUAUUGGUCAAUGGACGAGAGUCUGAACCAGCCAAGUAGCGUGAAGGAUGACUGCCCUAUGGGUUGUAAACUUCUUUUAUAUGGGAAUAAAGUGGUCCACGUGUGGAUUUUUGUAUGUACCAUAUGAAUAAGGAUCGGCUAACUCCGUGCCAGCAGCCGCGGUAAUACGGAGGAUCCGAGCGUUAUCCGGAUUUAUUGGGUUUAAAGGGUGCGUAGGUGGUGAUUUAAGUCAGCGGUGAAAGUUUGUGGCUCAACCAUAAAAUUGCCGUUGAAACUGGGUUACUUGAGUGUGUUUGAGGUAGGCGGAAUGCGUGGUGUAGCGGUGAAAUGCAUAGAUAUCACGCAGAACUCCGAUUGCGAAGGCAGCUUACUAAACCAUAACUGACACUGAAGCACGAAAGCGUGGGGAUCAAACAGGAUUAGAUACCCUGGUAGUCCACGCAGUAAACGAUGAUUACUAGGAGUUUGCGAUACAAUGUAAGCUCUACAGCGAAAGCGUUAAGUAAUCCACCUGGGGAGUACGCCGGCAACGGUGAAACUCAAAGGAAUUGACGGGGGCCCGCACAAGCGGAGGAACAUGUGGUUUAAUUCGAUGAUACGCGAGGAACCUUACCCGGGUUUGAACGUAGUCUGACCGGAGUGGAAACACUCUUUCUAGCAAUAGCAGAUUACGAGGUGCUGCAUGGUUGUCGUCAGCUCGUGCCGUGAGGUGUCGGCUUAAGUGCCAUAACGAGCGCAACCCUUAUCACUAGUUACUAACAGGUGAAGCUGAGGACUCUGGUGAGACUGCCAGCGUAAGCUGUGAGGAAGGUGGGGAUGACGUCAAAUCAGCACGGCCCUUACAUCCGGGGCGACACACGUGUUACAAUGGCAUGGACAAAGGGCAGCUACCUGGUGACAGGAUGCUAAUCUCCAAACCAUGUCUCAGUUCGGAUCGGAGUCUGCAACUCGACUCCGUGAAGCUGGAUUCGCUAGUAAUCGCGCAUCAGCCAUGGCGCGGUGAAUACGUUCCC